UAUUAUUUAUAUUUUCUUCUUUUUAUUCAUCUAAUUAGUUUUUUUUUCUUAUUUUAUUUAUUUAUUUAUUAAUUUUUUAUUCAUCAACACUUGGUUCGACUAUUACCUUUACUAACCCUUUUCAAGCCCUUUCCAAUAACCGAAACAGCAUGUUCCCACUUCAUUGAUACUUCUCUGGCUUAGACUGUACCGGAACCUUUUCAAUACCAGCAGUCGAGCUAUUUUUGGACAUUUUCGGCUACUCGCAAUUGACAUUGCUAGGUCGAUCAUAUGUUACAUUGACAUUGCAUUGUUUAACGAUGAGUCCAUGGAUUUAACCGAACACUAAAUUCACGUGAAUGUACAUUCCCCAUUAAACAAAAAGAGAAUCUGUCUUUGAAAAAAAAGAUGUCCUAACAACAUCAUAUUCAAACCUCAUGAUCAAUUUUGCUCCAAUGUUUUGGUUGAUUUAUACGGAUGAAGAAAACGAGUCAAGAUUUGAUUGAAAUAUCAGUGUUAUGAUGUAGCAUAGAUUUUAUUUAUUGAUUAUUUGUUUAUUAGAUCCAUUGUUACACUGUAUUCUAGAUACUUCAGUGUCUGGUUCAUUCUGAUCGUAAAAAGAAACAACUAGUAUGCCGAUACACCCAUGUACUAGACUUUUUUUAUCGACUGAAAACAUAAAUAUGCCUAGUCAGAUUAAAUCGAGAAACACUUCAUAUUAUGCUCAGUAACUUUUUUUUUAAUAGAAUAAUACACACAAUUAAUGCUGACUUGACAAUCUUAUCUUCUUUCCAUAAAUGUCCAGCACCCAGAAAGGCCUUUGAAUUUUUCGCUUCAUUGAGAGUAUCCUUCUUUUUUCACUAUUUAUCCUUUCUAAAUAUCGUUAAAACACUUUAACAAUACAUAAAACAAGGACAUUCUUAGGGCUUAACAACGAUAUCACAAAAUUUCUUUAAAAUCAAUGUGCUGCUUUUUGCUGUACUUUAAGCAUAGCAUUUACUAUGCAGUUUCAAAGAUACAUGUUUCAAAACUUAUGCAUCCAAACAUGGCUUUUUUCGUGUCAGGAAAAGAUUAUGAGAAAUAUAUAUAUAUAUAUUUUAGUUUUUGAAUAA
This 1091-nucleotide long non-coding RNA is filed under the name Schizosaccharomyces pombe (fission yeast). RNAcentral describes it as "non-coding RNA, possible alternative UTR". Lineage: Eukaryota; Fungi; Ascomycota; Schizosaccharomycetes; Schizosaccharomycetales; Schizosaccharomycetaceae. The record is from RNAcentral.